GGGCUUCUUCUCCCAUCACAGUGGUUCCCACGGUUGUCUUAGAAACCAGUCUCCGAGGCUUGGCAAAGCAGGAGCCCUCCUUGGCAGUGCUUGGGUGUCGGGGCUCUGAGGCUCCGGCCUGACCUCUUCACGGGGUCGACGGGAUCGUCUCCGGAUGCCAGGAGUCCCAAAGGGCCGACCAGGAUGAGGAAACCCCAGGCGGAGUCCGGGGGAAGCAGCACGGCAUCCCAGCCUCAGGCCUGCCCGGACGGUGAUGGUUGGGGUAAGAUUGGGGAAGAUGCCAGGUGAUAGAAUCCACCCUGCCUCUGACAGCAUCCAAUCUGGAGCAAAGGCUUCUUUCAACCUUCCCCCAAGCUCCCAAUACAAGCCCAAAUUCUGGAACAAGUCCUUUCCAACACCUCCUUCAGAGAAGCUCCCUGGCUCCAGGCAGUGCUUGCUCCCCUCACUGCAGCAGGAAGCCUAACUUGCGAACUGCAGGUGUGCUCCAGGUGGUCACUGGAUGCAAGGUAUUGACAGAUGGAUCCCAUUGAUACCCCCACUGCAUAACCAUGUAAGCCUAUCAUCCCCCACUUGCACAUGAGGAAACGGAGGUCCACAGGGUGGGGAAGGGAAGACAUAAUUUGUCCUUCAAAUGCGAUACCGGUGAGAUGUGAGAGGCAGCAUCCCUCAUAACUCAGCAAGGCAGUGGGCACACUAGGACCCUCCCAGGCAGAUCGGGUGCGUGGUCGCCCCCAUUGCAUAGCAUGGGUGGGAGUUGGGGAGACCAGACAUGGGUCUCACCACCUCUGCACUGGCCCGACCUCUCUGCAGGCCCCCAGGACAGGGUUAGCAUCUGCUUGCUGGCAGGCCUGGCCACCAGAAGUAUUUGCUUAUGUCUAAGGUCCCUGUAGUUGUGGUUCACAGGAUUGGGGCUGCUCCUGAGAUUCAGCACCACACAGGCACUGCAUGGAACUGUGCUAUGGUGGUGGGCACUCGCUUUCCAGAUAGGGCCCAUGUUGCCAGCAGGCAUGAUGCAUCAUUUACCCUACCCUGAGUGCAAUAUGUGGUUUUAUAGAAAAAAACUUGGGCCAGAUGCGGUGGCUCACACCUGUAAUCCCAGCAGUUUAGGAGGCCAAGGUAGGCGGAUCAAAAGGUCAGGAACUCAAGACCAGCCUGGCUAAUAUAGUGAAACCUUGUCUCUAUGAAAAAUACAAGAAUUAGCCAGAUGUGGUGGUGGGCACCUGUAGUCCCAGCUACACCGGAUACUCCGGAGGCUGAGGCAGGAGAAUCGCUUGAACCCAGGAGGCAGAAGUUGCGGUGAGCCAAGAUCAUGCCACUGCACUCCAGCCUAGGCGACAGAGCAAAACUCCUUCUCAAAAAAAAAAAAAAAAAAAAAAAAAAGAAAGAAAAGGAAAAGUAUUUGUAGAUGAAUGAAGGUGAUUCCUUUGAAUAUUGAAAAUGAUUUUAUUUUAGCCAUUGGUCUGACACUCAUUCCGAUGGGGUGACAUGUGUCCCUGCCUUAGUCAUCAGAGCACAGGAGUUUGCUACACCUCCCCUCAUCUGAAGAUUCAGCCCAUGAGCAGGAACGCCUGUCUUUGUGUCAUACCAACAGAGAGGAUGUGUCUGGUUUCACCAUUCACUGCAGAGGCAGAAAUUACCCAGAAAGAAGAGACAGUCUGUUCCCGGGAGUGUGUCCUUUUGACCCCGCAUGGGGGUCAUCUCCCUUCCUUGGCCAGGACCCCCAACCUGAACACAGAGGUAGAGAACAUGUGAAGGGCUCCCAUUCCCAGGUGGUCCAGGGUGCAAGCUCUGAGCCUGUGGUCCUGGUCACUGCCCUUUUCUCCACAGCAUGGCAGUCACCAUCCUGGGCUGGGGUACAGAGGGGCUUUGCAGAGAUCAGCAUAACAAAAGCAUCACUGAGAUGCUGCAAUAGGAAACCGUGAUACCUUCGUGGGCUGCCAAGGCAGCCUAAGCUAUUUGUUGCUGCACUCAGUGUCCCCAGACAGCUGUGUGGCUGUCACUGCCUCUGAUGUGUCCAUUUUACUUCUCUUCUCCUGCCUCAGCUUCUGCUCUGAACUCUGUCUCUAACUUACAAGAAAUCAAGCUCACUGGAUUCUGAGCUCUUCGGGGUCAAGGACUGUGUCAGUAGUUCAUGUCUCUUUCUAGAGAUCACAGCUUAGUAUCUGGCACAGAGCAGAUACUCAGCCAAUGCCAAAUGAUUCAUUUGCCAGAAGGCUGAAUAUCAUCCAUAAUCCUAGUCAAUGCAAAUACAUUUUGCCGGUGGGGUGUGUUUGUCCUCUGAAGGCGUUUUCCCAGGCUUUGUAAAUACAUACAGGCCAUUUAGAAAUUUGAAUGUCAAAGAGUAAAGGAGCUUAGAAAGUAAGCAUUGGAGAAGUGUGGGAGGGUGGUAUUAUUUACAAAACAUUCCUGGGUCCUUGUGAGUUCUAUACACCCUUGAUGAGCACUGAUUCUGGGCCAGGCCAGACACCCAGCUGGACCCAGGAGAUACUGAGGUGAGUAAAGCCAAAAUGCCUCCAUUCAGCAGGAGGCGGGCAGUCACACCAAAGUGAUAAAGGCACAAAAUGCAGAGGCAGCAGAGGAGCAAUGACUACCUUGUUCCAGGACUCUGUGACCUCAGGGAGAGCUUUCAGAGGAGGACAUCUGUGCAAGGCUUGGAAGGAUGAACACAAAUUUGCCUAGCAGAAAAGGGAGCCAAGCAAAUCCUGAUGGAGAACAGCUUGGGUGAGAGUGUGAGCCACAGGAUUGAGGGGCUCAGGCAUGUAACUGGAGGAGCAGAAAGAAUGAGGGGAGAUAAAGUUGGGAGGUCAGCAGAGGUCAGUCACAGAAGGUUUUGAAUCCUGGUGAGGAAGCAAUGGGUGCUGCACAAGGGACAUGGGCCUGGAGGAGAUGCAGUUAGCUCUGAGUGAAGAUGGAGCAUGCCAUCCACCAGGGAACCACAAGAUGCAAUAGAAAUAAGAACCCUGAGAAGCCUGCACAAAGAAUGAGGGGCCCAGGGGUAGCACCAAGAAGGUCCCUGUCAGAGGCCAGCUUUGAACGGAGACAGAAAAGACUCUUGAGGGCCUCAGCUGCUGCAAACCUCCUCAAUAAAUCAUAUUUUACCUUCCAAUAUUUGCUAAAGAAUACUAACUAUUGGAAGAGCAAUGGCCCAUUGAUAAUAAUUAUUCCCUCAAUGUACAUUUUUUACAAUUCUCAAAAUGCUCUCGGUCCAGUCUCUCAUUGGAACCCCCAUAAAAUCCCAUUUUACAAAUAGGGAAAUGAGGCCCUGUGAUGUCACACCGAGGUUUGCAGCAGUUCCAGGAUAGAAAAUAGGAAGCACUUUCAUCUCAGCCCUGGGUAUAAGUCUCAAAAUUCCUUUUCGGGGAGGGGAUCCUUGAGGCCAUCCAGCAGCCCAUAGUCCAAGUCUUUUUCUUCCUCCUUGGGCUUCUCCACACCUGUAUCCAAAGCUUCCUUCUCCUCCUUUGUUCUCAGGUACCACUACCAGUUGUUGGGCAGGGAGACCUCCUGCUGCUGCCCAUCCUAUGUUGCAUCCUCCAACAUGGGUGCACUGUGGUUCAGCCAGCACCUAUACCACCUGCAGCCCAGGGCUCCUGUGGUGGGCCUGAGGUUCCUCCCUAUCAAAUGGAGAUAUGCUGGGGUUGCUGCCUUUGCUGAAGCCCAUGUCCAGGUCAUCUUGGGGGUGGCCAAGGUUACAGGGUCCUGGGGACAGGCCAGAGGGCUGCAGGAGCAAAAACCAAGAGGAUGAGGGGAUCUGUGAGACAGACCGCCUGAAUCCACAUCCUAGAGACUAGGUGCAAGGCCUGGGGAAGACUGGUUCACCUCUCUGGGCGUCAGUUUCCUCCCCUGUAAAGUGGGAGUUAUAACAGAUUCACUCCUACAGUUGUCUCUGAGCUUUAUGGCAGGUAAUGUGUGCAAAGUACUUCGCACAAGGCCUGGCACAUGGUAGGUGAUAAAUAAUAAACAGGGUUACUAUGAUAUCAUCAUCUGAGCUAGGUCACUCAUGCACUUCUCCAAUGCUUCAGGGUGCCCCUCCAUCCCUCACAGGGUAGCAGCAAGUGCUACCCCAGCAGGAUGUGAUAAGGAAGUCAGGCGGUUGGGGAGGAUGUUUCUCGCAGCCCAAACCCCAGUGGAAUGUUUCCCUCUGAACAGGGUCUGUGAAAUGGUGGGGGCUUACAAAUCGGUGCAGCUUGGACUAACAGGCUCCGGCGGCCACUUUGUUUUCUGGACAUGCUUUGGACUGUGAGCCGAGCCUCUAUGAAUCAUCACUUCAGCCUCUGAUUGGUCCUGGGCCAAACUUUCACUUCAGCCCCUGAUUGGUCUUGGGCCAAAAUUUCACUUCAGCCUCUGAUUGGUCCCAGGCUAAGGUCCCGGGCCAAGCGAAGUCGUGCUAUCUCCAAGACAGCUCACAGACCAGUGAGCACAUUCUUCCUCUUCCCAGUUCACAAAACCCCCAGAUUCAGCCUCCUAGUUGGCAACCCUCUUUCGGGUCCCCUCUCUGCUGGGGAGAGCUUUCUUCUUUUGCUUAUUAAACUUCUGUUCCAAACUCAUUCUUUG
Molecule: long non-coding RNA, 4551 nt
Filed under: Homo sapiens (human)
Lineage: Eukaryota; Metazoa; Chordata; Mammalia; Primates; Hominidae
Description: HSALNT0400397
Source: RNAcentral